Molecule: microRNA precursor, 121 nt
Filed under: Pteropus vampyrus (large flying fox)
Lineage: Eukaryota; Metazoa; Chordata; Mammalia; Chiroptera; Pteropodidae
Description: miRNA (ENSPVAG00000025686.1)
Rfam family: mir-1302 microRNA precursor family (bases 43-94)
Source: RNAcentral
GGAUACCCAGUUAAAUUCAAAUUUCCAAUGAGCAAUGAAUACUUUUUAGUAUAAGUAUAGCCCGCGCAAUAUUUGGGAUAUACUUAUACUAAAGACAUUUGUUUUUAUCUGAAAUUCAAAU